Molecule: ribosomal RNA, 400 nt
Filed under: Gonium quadratum
Lineage: Eukaryota; Viridiplantae; Chlorophyta; Chlorophyceae; Chlamydomonadales; Volvocaceae
Description: partial small subunit ribosomal RNA
Rfam family: Eukaryotic small subunit ribosomal RNA
Source: RNAcentral
GCUUGUCUCAAAGAUUAAGCCAUGCAUGUCUAAGUAUAAACUGCUUAUACUGUGAAACUGCGAAUGGCUCAUUAAAUCAGUCAUAAUUUAUUUGAUGGUACCUACUACUCGGAUAACCGUAGUAAUUCUAGAGCUAAUACGUGCGCACAACCCGACUUCUGGAAGGGUCGUAUUUAUUAGAUAAAAGGCCAGCCGGGCUCUGCCCGACCUGCGGUGAAUCAUGAUAACUUCACGAAUCGUAUGGCCCUGUGCCGACGAUGUUUCAUUCAAAUUUCUGCCCUAUCAACUUUCGAUGGUAAGGUAUUGGCUUACCAUGGUUACAACGGGUAACGGAGAAUUAGGGUUCGAUUCCGGAGAGGGAGCCUGAGAAACGGCUACCACUUCCAAGGAAGGCAGCAGG